CUGGUACCUGCCUACUACCUGUAACAUUAUAUAACAUUAAUACAUUGCGAAUGUCUUUUUUUUAUGUUCUAAAGUUAACCCUAAAUAAAGUAUAUAUUUUGGUAUGGCAACUUUCCCCCCUGGUGAUGGCGUCCACGUUGUGAUCAGCUGACUCGAGGGUGACGUGGAGAGAACUUUAAAGGUUGAGCACAAUGGAUUCUUUUGAAGAGUACAUCAAUCUUCAUUGGACUACCAUAGUUGUCACAUGUUCAUCUCCCAGCAUAAGAGAAGGAGUGGAAGAAGAGUGUAAACGAUUAUCUAGUGGUGGUUUAUUGCCUCAACAUGAUUUUCUCCUGGUGUUGGAUGAUCCACGGCCUGAAAUCAGACCAUCAAAACAUGAUUCAGAACUUCAGUCAACUCCAGGGGUGGGGAGUGGAGGGGCAACAAUUAAUGCCCUCCUUGUGGCGAUAGAGAGGCUCUCUGCCCAACACCAUCACACCACAAUCAACAGCGAACUUGUUCACAGUAGCCGCAUUCUUGUGGUUCAUUAUGGUCGUCUCUUGCUGCAUUCUCCAGGAGGCACAGCAUUCCUACGACUCUCACCAAAACAAACGUUUGUGCCCCCAAGUGCCAGAACAACGCCACCUACUCUCUUACAACAUGCCAUUUGGAUGACAACUAAAAUGAGUGCAAAGAGCAAAACUGGAGUGUGGGUGACAUCAUUAGAUGCUUUCCUUCCUUACUCCCUGGAGUUACACCCUCCCGAUACUGAUGGCAUUGAUGGUGCUAUAGUGUGUACUGUGGCAGCCCCCUUAGAGCAUGCUGUGCACCAUGGUGUUGUUGUUGCUGAGAAAGGUCAAGACAUUAGUAAAAUGGAAUACAGAUUGCCACUAGAAGAACUGAGAAAGGUUUUUCCAGGAGGUGUCAGUGCAGUGAUCUCUGGAAUAGUGUUCCUAAGUGCCUCAUUGACAGAACAAUUACUUGGCCUUCACACAGUGCCACCCCUAGACUGCUGUACUUAUUAUGGCACUGACAGUGGAGUGUCACCUCUACAGUUGUCAUUAUACUUCGACCUCCUGCUGCCACUUUGUUCUGCAGUUCACUAUGAGGAAUACAUCUCUGGCCAGUGUGGAACUAUCUAUGCUCAGGCAGCAAGUUACAAUACCCUCACCCAACAGGAGUCUCGUUCAGCCAGACUCCAGAUUUGGAAGCAGUUACAAGGACAUAAGAUUACUUUUCACCCUCUUCAAGGUGUGCAGCAUCACUAUAUGGGUGCUAACUUAUCAUUUCAAGACUCACUGAUACCAUUAUUACCUUCAUCCAGCAUCUUGCUUCAUGACACAUUUAUUGGACACGAUAUGAAUGAGCAUGUUGUGAUAGUGAACUCGGUCAUAGAAGGAAGUGUAAAGUCCUUGCAAGAAAAACUCUAUAUCAUAGAUUCUGCAAUUGGUAAAAAUGUUUCCAUAACCUCAGUAGGGCCUGGUGUUCUCUCAGGGCUCCAGUUACAGGAAAGUAAUAUAACUGUGGAAUUACCAGGUGGGCAAGUUUGGCAGAUGUAUCCUGGGGAGAACUAUGAUGUAGUCACCUGUCAUGGGUUUAGUGAUGAUUUAUCUAAGUUACAACAUGAUACUAAAGCAACAGUGUUCAACACUCUUUGGUCUGUUUUCUAUGCCAGAACUGGAUUAGAAAAGAAAGAUUUGUGGCCACACACUAACAGCAAAUAUCAAACUGUUAUUACGGCCAAAUUCUUUGUUAUGGAUCGUCCUGUUGUGGAACAAAUAAGGAUGAUGAUAACCCUGGUGGGGGCAGUUAGUAAUGAUCAGAGACAACAGGAAUGGAUGUUAGAUAUUCAGGAAUGGAAAACAUGCACACGAGUCUCACUUUUAGAUGUUGCAACUAAAUGUGACUUGAAGAAACUAGUAAGACAGCGGGAAGAUAUAUACCUGGAAACUGUUAAACGACUCAUCAGUGACACCGCGGAUGAAGUGGGUGGGAAGUCUCUCCUUCCCUAUUUCAGUUACCUUGCAACAAGAGGACAAGAAUCAGUUGAGGCAAUUCUUCAUGAGUUGCAUAAGCAGCUACAACGACCUCGUACUUCCACCCCUCGUUUGUUGGCAAAUGCAGCUGACCUACUCGGCUGUAUGGCAGCAGGGAGAGGUGGGCUGAGAAGUGGACCUGCAGCCAAUCCUCAGUGGAGAAAUGCAUUGGUGGAGCUUAAAGCUGGAAAUCAGAAAGAGGCAGUGGAUCAUAUGACAAUGGUGUGUACUCAGUGGAUGAAAUCAGGCCAUCCUGAAGACUUGAUCAGAGCUGCAAGGCAUUACGAACGAGCUUCCCAAAUUGUCAUAAGUCAACAGGUGGAAACAGCAGUUGUCCAUGUAUCAACGAUGUGGGUGGCACCGGAGCUCCGCCAGAAAGUGGAUGUUGGAGUAUGGGUGGAGGCUCAUUCACCCGCUCGCAUUGACCUGGCAGGAGGUUGGUCUGAUACUCCACCAAUUUGCUAUGAACAAGGAGGAGCAGUAUUAAACAUUGCUAUCAAGAUUAACAAGAAAAAGCCCAUUGGUGCUCGUGUCCGAAUAGUGCCUGAACUCUACAUUGCUUGUGUUCUCCGCGAUUGGUCUGGUGGAGAUGUCCGCCUGACUUGGACUGAAUUAGAUCAUCUGUGUGAUUAUGACAACCCUGUUUCCCCCGGAGCUUUGGUGAAGGCUGUGCUCCUCUACUGCCAACUGGUGGACCUCAACAGUGAAGACUCUCUCGUUUUACAGUUAAAGAAUAGGUUUGGUGGUGGUGUGGAGAUCGAAGUUUGGUCACAUUUGCCCCAAGGAUCAGGUCUUGGAGGCAGCAGUCUCCUAGCUGGAACUUUGUUGUCUGCCAUUGUGGUGUUGCUGGGGUAUCCACUACCUCGUCACUCACAUCUCAUCCAUGCAACUCUGUGCAUUGAACAGUGGCUCACCACUGGUGGGGGAUGGCAGGACCAGGUUGGAGGACUUUUAGGAGGAGCCAAGUUGGGUGUGAGCAGCAAGGGAACUCCUGUCACAGUGUCCACCUACAAGAUCCCUCUAUCACAGGAAUUUGUCAGCUCCCUCAAUGACCAUCUUCUCUUACUCUACACUGGGAAGGUCCGUCUUGCAAGAAACCUGCUUCAGACAGUCAUUCGUAACUGGUAUGCCCGUGACCCGAAUAUAACAUCAUGCUUCUCACAGCUUCAACAGUUGGCUCUACAAGCUGCUGGAGCCAUGCUUGGAGAAGACCUCAAGAUGCUGGGCUCCUGUAUUAAUAACUAUUGGAGAUUGAAGAAAAUGGUUGCAUCUGGGUGUGAAACAAGCAAGGUAUCCAAACUAAUGGCUACUCUACAAGAUCAUUGUGCGGGUAUAUCCUUGGCUGGAGCUGGUGGAGGGGGUUACCUUUAUGCACUGAAAGCUAAGCCAGGACAACUGGCAGAUGAUAUCAACCUUGGUGGAUUAACUAGUGACUGUGUAGAGGUGGAUGAACAUGGGUUAGAGUUGUGCAUAGGUGGAGAAUCAGUAGCUAAGUUAAAUGAAGAUAAAAUUUUCUUGACUCGUGAGAAGCUGAAGACUUUGUUUGAGAACUAAAGUUAUCAGCAGGUUUUCAGCUUCAGACUACAUUUUAUCACUUUUUAAUUAAAUUAAAGUAUUGUAAAUAUUAUAGGUCAGUUAGUAAAUUGUAAUUCAUCCACAGUAAAUGGUCAUGCAUCCAUUGAAGGUUUCACAGCCAGAUGUCAACCCUCAGUGUGAAGGACUUCCAGAGUGUGAAGAACCUUGGUUAAUCCAUGUUGUUGCCACUGGAAACAAUGAUUCUAUUCAUCACUUAUGGGGUAUUCAUGGUGCC
Molecule: unclassified non-coding RNA, 3825 nt
Filed under: Homarus americanus (American lobster)
Lineage: Eukaryota; Metazoa; Arthropoda; Malacostraca; Decapoda; Nephropidae
Description: l-fucose kinase-like, transcript variant X5
Source: RNAcentral